GUAUAAACCCAUGUAACCCUGAACACCCUCAAUCUCAUCUGGUCUUGAAAGCUAAGCAGGGUCAGGCCUUGUUAGUACUUGGAUGGAAGACAGAUCUUAAAAAGAGACUGCU
Molecule: ribosomal RNA, 112 nt
Filed under: Castor canadensis (American beaver)
Lineage: Eukaryota; Metazoa; Chordata; Mammalia; Rodentia; Castoridae
Source: RNAcentral